RNAcentral lists this unclassified non-coding RNA (348 nucleotides) under soil metagenome. RNAcentral describes it as "partial contains 5.8S ribosomal RNA, internal transcribed spacer 2, and large subunit ribosomal RNA". The stretch from base 1 to 120 matches the Rfam family "5.8S ribosomal RNA", at positions 35 to 154 of the family's 154-position model. The record is from RNAcentral.
GAUGAAGAACGUAGCGAAAUGCGAUAAGUAAUGUGAAUUGCAGAAUUCAGUGAAUCAUCGAAUCUUUGAACGCACAUUGCGCCCGCCAGUAUUCUGGCGGGCAUGCCUGUCUGAGCGUCAUUUCAACCCUCAUGCCCCUAGGGCGUGGUGUUGGGGAUCGGCCAAAGCCCGCGAGGGACGGCCGGCCCCUAAAUCUAGUGGCGGACCCGUCGUGGCCUCCUCUGCGAAGUAGUGAUAUUCCGCAUCGGAGAGCGAUGAGCCCCUGCCGAUAAACCCCCAACUUUCCAAGGUUGACCUCAGAUCAGGUAGGAAUACCCGCUGAACUUAAGCAUAUCAAUAAGCGGAGGA